This is a small nucleolar RNA of Artibeus jamaicensis (Jamaican fruit-eating bat), 141 nucleotides long. RefSeq annotates it as small nucleolar RNA SNORA42/SNORA80 family. The transcript has a single exon. The record is from RefSeq and is a predicted model, not a curated record. NCBI's taxonomy places the organism in Eukaryota, Metazoa, Chordata, Mammalia, Chiroptera, Phyllostomidae.
ACAUGGGUUUGGAUUUAAGGCAAGCCCAUACCCCUGGGUCUUUCAUGAGGGAUACUUUCCAAAGCCAAAGCAAACUGUGGCCUUGAAUCAUUGUUUGGCUUCUAUCUGUAAGCCACAGGCACUGAAACAGGUUGCACAGUA